Dreissena polymorpha is the source of this 3378-nucleotide RNA transcript. RefSeq lists it as uncharacterized. The record is from RefSeq and is a predicted model, not a curated record. The transcript has 5 exons. NCBI's taxonomy places the organism in Eukaryota, Metazoa, Mollusca, Bivalvia, Myida, Dreissenidae.
UGCAUGUUUACUUUCGGUUUUAAUACGUCUGUUGUUGCACGGAGGACGCUGGGCUAUGAAAGUGUUAACGCAUAUGUGUUAUAUCAUUAAGGGAGUAUAGAUUUACAUUGUAGUCUAGUACAAGUGCUUUAUAUUACUUUAUUUAACUUGUUUUAACAAAAUGGCGACACAUUCUGAUCGGAUUACCUUCUUUUGCUGUGUAUCAUGCAAGCAUAGCAAGAAUAUCGAAACAUAUUCAGUGUAUUACUGUAAAAAAUGUCAACAGUGUUUCUGUAGAGAGUGCUGUGAGCUACAUGAUUAUUUGUUUAGUAACCAUGUUAAGUACGACCGACUGAAUAUGAGGAACUGGCCAGUUUCAAAGGAGUUGGAGGCUGUUUUACUGAUGUGUGAAAUACACACUCAUAAACAACUAGAGACGUUCUGCAAAGAUCACAGUCAGCUGUGCUGCUCAAAAUGUGUUUCCUUAAGUCACAGAAAAUGCCAAAAGAAAACACUUACCUCUGCCAAGAAACAAAUAACACUUACCUCAGCCAAGAAAAAGGCAGCAGAUGUACAAGAACUGAUUGAGAAGCUCCUGAUCAAUAUGAGAAAACUGAGGAAACUGCAGAGUUGCUGUGAGUCUGAAAUCGAGGAUCUGACGAGUUCCUACCAGGGGCAAGAACACAUUGUACAUAAAAUGAAUGACAAAAUUAAAUCCACUAUAGACAAAAUUGUGAGGAGAACUUUCAAGAAAACACCUAAAGUUGAGCAAAACAAAAAAAAAAUACAUGAAUUAAUGCAUUCCAGAUUGUUUGAUAUAGAGAAUAUAACUUUGAGUGAAGCAAACAUAACACUACUGAGUCUUCAAACUUCUCUAAAGACUGGUGUUGAAAGCUGCAUCCGUCAUCAUCGUGAAUUAAAAGCAGUCCAUGAACUCCUGCUAUACAGCAGUGACAACAACAACAAGAAACUCUGCUUUAUAGCAGGCCGGAAAUGCAUAGACAAAAUACAACAGGUCGAAUCAUACCUGGAUGAGAACAGUGUUAAACUUGAAUGUGCGGUAUUAAACCAGACUAUACAAGGCACUGAGCAGUAUUUGUCAAAAUUGUCAGGUCUGGUGAAGCUGUUAAAGAGUAUGAACGCUAACACUGACAUUGAAUUGUACUUGUCUAAACUGUCUGGUCUGGUGAGAGUUGUAUGCCCUAACCAUGUGUUCACUGUCCAGGGGAAGUCGGAGCACUCUGUGAGAAUACAAAGUGAUACAGCCACAUGCUAUAUCACAGUCAUCUGUGUCCUCCCAAACAAACAGGUUCUGGUUGCAGACUAUUAUAAUAAGAAAGUCAAGCUGCUUAAUCAGCAGUACCAUGUGUUGAGUCAUUGGGUUGUGACUUCAUAUAUAUAUGACAUGUGUCAGAUCACACCCAGAGAAGUUGCAGUGGCUUUGCAUGGGAAUAAUAGUAACAUACAUGAGGUCCAGUUUAUCACAGUCAACCAGAGCCAGCUCGCUCCAGGUAGGAAGCUUGAGUUACUACAUAACUGUUGGGGUAUUGCCCACCACCAAGGUGAACUGUUUGUCAGCUCUGGUACAGCACUGUUCAAAUACUCAUUGAGUGGCAAACUGGUCUGCAGACUCUAUAAGGACAUAUCAGGAUGUACAGUAUACAAGUGUGCUGUGAGUCAAACAGGGGACAAGCUGUACAUUACAAACCAGGAGCAGAACAAGCUCCUCACCCUAGCCAGGAAUGGAACACUCUUGGCUACAUUAACAGACCCAGCACUAGAAGUCCCAUAUGGUCUACAUGUGAUGCCUGCAGGCCAGGUGCUGGUCUGUGGAUGGCUGUCCAACACUAUUUUACAGGUGGACAGAGAGGGGAGGAGAACGCUGGGCAUUCUGGGUACAGAGAAGAGGGAUGGAGUGGGGCACCCAAUGUCAGUCUCCUACAGCAGUACCACAUCCUCUAUUAUUGUGGGACAAUAUGGAGGCAUCCUUGUGUUCAGAGUGGAAUAGUGUGGACAUGUAUGUAUUAGCUUGUUGUAAUUAGCGAUUAAUAUUUUACUGACAAUGUGUUGUUUGAGCAUAAUAGCAUCGAAGUGUGUUAUAUUUUAAUACAAUAGUGUGUUUGUAGUUGCAGAUACAACUCAUUUGUUUACAAAUAUUGUUAUUUACUUAAAUAAUGUUUUAUUUUUCUUUGAAAACUAUAUCUAAUACAUAUAAUUUGUUGCUGUCUUAACAUUUGUUUCAUAAUUGUUUUUGUAUGCUGCACAUGAAAAAACAAAGCUUUUCGACUGUACAUUAAAAACUUGUACAUAGAUGCAAUGCCUUGUACAUAGCACUGUAUGUUAUUUGUACAAUAUGUUACGUAUGAAAUGUAUAUUGAUGCAUAUUUUUUUAUAAAAUAUUAAAUAGUUGUAGUCAUCUGAUGAGGAAUAUAUUUAUUGAUGUUUUCAGUAAUGUUUACAAAAUGUUCACACUUGAUCUAAUAUUUUAUAAUUUACUUUGCUGUAUACUUUUGAACAUUGUUUUUGAUGUUUAAUUACAUUUAUUUAAAUGUGUGUAAGUCCAGAAUGUACAUACAAUAAUAACAUCAAGCUAGUCUGCUGCUUCGGGUGUUGCUGAGUCAGGACAAUAAUGCUAAGGAUGUGGUGGACAAGAAUAACUUGAAUAUGCAGAAGGUACUUGACCAACCACUGGAGGCCGUCCCGUCUGGUCAGGUGUCAACGAUAGUUGUGAUUGACAAGUCUAACGAAGCAGAGGCAACGAAACCCAGCAAUAUUCUAUUCAAUGUAUGAAAAAAAGCAACAUUGACUCGUGGAGAGCACCAGCAUUGAUAUCGAGUUGGGCCAGUAAUAGCACCAGUCCGGCAUGCAGUAGCCUCAGUUUAACCCAAACUCCUUCACCUUGACCUCCGAACCAUUUAACAAUUCUGUUCUGCAGAAAAAUCUGAGCACGUCGAGUUGUGUUUUAACACGUUGCUCUCAACAACCUCAAAGUCCGUGUCGAGUUUUCCACACUCAAGCCCGAGUACUUUUGUUUAGCUUUAUUGCCCGAGUGGGACGAGUGUUACAGACACGAGAAGUUAGCAGUACUUAUGGUAACGCUAACAGUCAGUUCUUGCUGUUGAACAUCACAACCAAUAUCAUGAAGAAUAAAAAAAGUUGAAUAACUUGUUCAAUUCUUUGUGGGACAAACAGAAAUUCAGCGAGGAACGGGAGAAAAUCAAGGUAAAAUGGAAGCGAGUUAUUCAGAAGUGUAAGCUUUCCAAGGGAGAUACUUCUAGUUUGGACAGUAAUUGCGUUACGGACUGUCACGGUUUGUUCUUGCAGGGGCAAAACUGUCCAAAGACGGCUUUUUGAGGCUGUAGCUGACAAAGAAGGGCAAAAAUGACUUUGUUUUGAAAA